GACGAACGCUGGCGGCGUGCCUAAUACAUGCAAGUAGAACGCUGAAGGAGGAGCUUGCUUCUCUGGAUGAGUUGCGAACGGGUGAGUAACGCGUAGGUAACCUGCCUGGUAGCGGGGGAUAACUAUUGGAAACGAUAGCUAAUACCGCAUAAUAGUAGAUGUUGCAUGACAUUUGCUUAAAAGGUGCAAUUGCAUCACUACCAGAUGGACCUGCGUUGUAUUAGCUAGUUGGUGGGGUAACGGCUCACCAAGGCGACGAUACAUAGCCGACCUGAGAGGGUGAUCGGCCACACUGGGACUGAGACACGGCCCAGACUCCUACGGGAGGCAGCAGUAGGGAAUCUGCGGCAAUAGACGGAAGUCUGACUGAGCAACGCCGCGUGAGUGAAGAAGGUUGUCGGAUCGUAAAGCUCGGUUGUAAGAGAAGAACGAGUGUGAGAGUGGAAAGUUCACACUGUGACGGUAUCUUACCAGAAAGGGACGGCUAACUACGUG
This 495-nucleotide ribosomal RNA is filed under the name uncultured bacterium. Its description in RNAcentral is "partial 16S ribosomal RNA". It matches the Rfam family "Bacterial small subunit ribosomal RNA", at positions 28 to 507 of the family's 1533-position model. The record is from RNAcentral.